UGGGGAAUAUUGCACAAUGGGCGGAAGCCUGAUGCAGCGACGCCGCGUGAGGGAUGACGGCCUUCGGGUUGUAAACCUCUUUCAGUAGGGACGAAGCGUAAGUGACGGUACCAUAGGAGGAAGCCCCGGCUAACUACGUGCCAGCAGCCGCGGUAAUACGUAGGGGGCGAGCGUUGUCCGGAAUUACUGGGCGUAAAGGGUUCGCAGGCGGCAUGGCAAGUCCGAUGUAAAAGGCGAAGGCUCAACCUUCGUAAGCAUCGGAAACUGUCAAGCUUGAGUGAAGGAGAGGCAAGUGGAAUUCCUAGUGUAGCGGUGGAAUGCGUAGAUAUUAGGAGGAAUACCGGUGGCGAAGGCGACUUGCUGGACUUCAACUGACGCUGAGGAACGAAAGCGUGGGUAGCAAACAGG
This 408-nucleotide ribosomal RNA is filed under the name Verrucomicrobiota bacterium. RNAcentral describes it as "Verrucomicrobia bacterium partial 16S ribosomal RNA". It matches the Rfam family "Bacterial small subunit ribosomal RNA", at positions 355 to 776 of the family's 1533-position model. Lineage: Bacteria; Pseudomonadati; Verrucomicrobiota. The record is from RNAcentral.